This 239-nucleotide non-coding RNA is filed under the name Oryctolagus cuniculus (rabbit). Its description in RNAcentral is "Eukaryotic small subunit ribosomal RNA". It matches the Rfam family "Eukaryotic small subunit ribosomal RNA", at positions 1224 to 1479 of the family's 1831-position model. Lineage: Eukaryota; Metazoa; Chordata; Mammalia; Lagomorpha; Leporidae. The record is from Rfam by way of RNAcentral.
CCAGACAUGGACAGGACUGACAGAUUGAUGGCUCUUUCUCAGUUACGUGGGUGGUGCUGCACGGCCGUUCUUAGUUGGUGGAGCGAUUUGUCUGCUUAAUUCUGAUAACGAAUGAGGCUCUGGCAUGCACACUAGUUACACAAUCCCUGAGCGGUCGGUGUCCCCCAACUUCUUAGAAGGACAAAUGGCGUUCAGCCACCCAAGACUGAGCAAUAACAGGUCUGUGAUGCCCUUAGAUG